GCCAGCAGCCAUGUCACCCUGCAACUCACAACUGGCAACCCACUGAAGCUAAGCAGGUGUGAGCCUGGUCAGUACCUGGAUGGGAGACCUCCUGGGAAAAACUAAGGUUGCUGCUGGAA
Lepisosteus oculatus (spotted gar) is the source of this 119-nucleotide ribosomal RNA. NCBI's taxonomy places the organism in Eukaryota, Metazoa, Chordata, Actinopteri, Semionotiformes, Lepisosteidae. The record is from Ensembl.